GAUGAACGCUGGCGGCAUGCCUAAUACAUGCAAGUCGAACGAGAGGAAGGAAAGCUUGCUUUUCUGAAUCUAGUGGCGAACGGGUGAGUAACACGUAGGUAACCUGCCCAUGUGCCCGGGAUAACUUCUGGAAACGGAUGCUAAAACCGGAUAGGUAGCAGACAAGCAUUUGACUGCUAUUAAAGUGGCUAAGGCCAUGAACAUGGAUGGACCUGCGGUGCAUGAGCUAGUUGGUGAGGUAACGGCCCACCAAGGCGACGAUGCAUAGCCGGCCUGAGAGGGCGGACGGCCACAUUGGGACUGAGACACGGCCCAAACUCCUACGGGAGGCAGCAGUAGGGAAUUUUCGUCAAUGGGGGGAACCCUGAACGAGCAAUGCCGCGUGAGUGAGGAAGGUCUUCGGAUCGUAAAGCUCUGUUGUAAGAGAAAAACGACAUUCAUAGGGAAUGAUGAGUGAGUGAUGGUGUCUUACCAGAAAGUCACGGCUAACUACGUGCCAGCAGCCGCGGUAA
Molecule: ribosomal RNA, 512 nt
Filed under: uncultured bacterium
Lineage: Bacteria
Description: partial 16S ribosomal RNA
Rfam family: Bacterial small subunit ribosomal RNA
Source: RNAcentral